ACAGCAAUUUGUUGAUGGAUUUCUUUUAAAUUGAAAUUUCAGAGACUAAGCAGAGCAGUGAUGACUGAUUAUUAAUGUGAAAUGGAAAACAGGAGAAAGAACAAGACUGUAUGGUAAAGAUGGAGUGGGAAUCAUGGCUCCUGACUAAAGGAGAACAACGAUGACUAUGACAACAACAACAUAAGAUUUAAGAGAAAGAGACCGCCAGCAAAAGGCUGCCACACAAAGGAAGAGGGAAGCCACGGUGCUGGGAGACACCAAAGGGACCAGGGGAUGCUCACACACCAGUGUUUAUAUCUUCUCCAUGUGUGUACACAGUCCAUGAGAGUAAAUUAUUGUCAUGGGAAAGGGUUUAACAUUCUUGACCUAUAGUAUGGCUUGAAAAAAAAUGUGCAACAUGGCUAGAAUGCCAAUUUGAAGUGGAGAAGCAUUUAGGGGGAAUGAAUAGACUGUGCUUCAGAAGUAUUUUCAUGGAAGGGAGCGAGCCUCUUUAAUUUGUUCUCUGCAGAGGCUGCGAGUGAGUGAACAUUGUAACCUGCUAAGUAAGGCACCGUGCA
Molecule: long non-coding RNA, 557 nt
Filed under: Fukomys damarensis (Damara mole-rat)
Lineage: Eukaryota; Metazoa; Chordata; Mammalia; Rodentia; Bathyergidae
Description: lncRNA (ENSFDAG00000022352.1)
Source: RNAcentral